CAAUACUGUACAUCUUAGGGUCAAGGCCAUAUAGAAAAGAGAUUUGGAGAUCGCUGAAACAGACGUUCAUAUGUAAAAGAGUAUUUCGGAGUUCUUCUCUAUCAGAAAUGCAAACAGUUAGUCAACAAACUGACAAUGGAAGAGCAAUAGAGAUAGUUGUUGAGAAAACCAUGUAAUGUCGCACCAUUGUGUCUUGAGAUCAACGCUCGUCUUUCAUAUCAUGCCUAGCUACUCACCGGUGAUUUGUUAUACAAUAAAUCAAGAUAAUGCAGACAAAACCGUUG
Molecule: long non-coding RNA, 284 nt
Filed under: Mytilus galloprovincialis (Mediterranean mussel)
Lineage: Eukaryota; Metazoa; Mollusca; Bivalvia; Mytilida; Mytilidae
Source: RNAcentral